UUUAAAACACCACUUCCUGUACGAUCACCGAAGUUAAGCAACAUCGAGCCUGGUCAGUACUUAGAUGGGUGACCGGUUAGGAAUACCAGGUGCUGUAAG
Non-coding RNA from Acanthosepion pharaonis, 99 nucleotides. The record is from the annotation of a GenBank genome assembly. NCBI's taxonomy places the organism in Eukaryota, Metazoa, Mollusca, Cephalopoda, Sepiida, Sepiidae.